AGGGACUAUUACAGAGUUUACAACUCCCAAACCCAAAUGUGAACAUACCAAUCGUUGCUUCGGCGGACUCGUCCCGGCGUCCGGGUGGCCUUGCGCUGCCCGCGGCCCGGAUCCAGGCGGCCGCCGGAGGCCAUCAAACUCUUUGUAUUACCAGUAUCUUCUGAAUCCGCCGCAAGGCAAAACAAAUGAAUCAAAACUUUCAACAACGGAUCUCUUGGUUCUGGCAUCGAUGAAGAACGCAGCGAAAUGCGAUAAGUAAUGUGAAUUGCAGAAUUCAGUGAAUCAUCGAAUCUUUGAACGCACAUUGCGCCCGCCAGCAUUCUGGCGGGCAUGCCUGUUCGAGCGUCAUUUCAACCCUCGAGCUCCCUUUGGGGAGCCCGGCGUUGGGGACCGGCCUCUACCGCCGCCCCCGAAAUACAGUGGCGGCCCCGUCACGGCGACCUCUGCGUAGUAACUCAACCUCGCACCGGAAACCCGACGUGGCCACGCCGUAAAACACCCCACUUCUGAACGUUGACCUCGGAUCAGGUAGGAAUACCGCUGAACUUAAGCAUAUC
The sequence is a ribosomal RNA, 557 nucleotides long. The stretch from base 195 to 348 matches the Rfam family "5.8S ribosomal RNA".